CGUGUAGGCGGUCAGACAAGUCGGAUGUGAAAUCCUCCGGCUCAACUGGAGAACUGCGUUCGAAACUGUCUGACUUGGGUACAGGAGAGGAGAGUGGAACUCCCAGUGUAGCGGUGAAAUGCGUAGAUAUUGGGAGGAACACCGGUGGCGAAGGCGACUCUCUAGCCUGAUACCGACGCUGAGGCGCGAAAGCCAGGGGAGCGAACAGGAUUAGAUACCCUGGUAGUCC
This 229-nucleotide ribosomal RNA is filed under the name uncultured bacterium. Its description in RNAcentral is "partial 16S ribosomal RNA". It matches the Rfam family "Bacterial small subunit ribosomal RNA", at positions 568 to 796 of the family's 1533-position model. The record is from RNAcentral.